This 7437-nucleotide long non-coding RNA is filed under the name Homo sapiens (human). RNAcentral's name for it is "non-protein coding lnc-NUPR2-4:1". Lineage: Eukaryota; Metazoa; Chordata; Mammalia; Primates; Hominidae. The record is from RNAcentral.
UGUUAUAGACAGGUGUACUGCAGGAAUAAACUGUCACUAAUCAGUGUGGUGUAGAGAUGCUAGGAAUUCACAAAAGCUUCCUGGGCUUUUAGUGUAUGUUUUUAUUCCAGUUUCUGAUAAAUAUGUUUCUCAUGUCUCCCUUCAGGAGAGGGUCUAGGUUUGGGGCUGGGCAUCAGGCCAGGAGGGGUCUCCUUGGAGGGGUCUGUUUCUGUCCUGGGCACCUUGCACUGGGCAGUGCUGGGUCCUUUCUGGACACCCCUGGGGUCCAGUUCUGCACAGGAGGCCACGGAUCGGGGAGGCCCAGGCAGGGAAGAGCUCACCACACUCCUGUCUUUAAUCUGAGUUGUGUCAGGGGUGGGUUCAGUUUCCAAGAGGACUCGUGGUGCCCCGUCCAGCCCACCAGGCCUGGCUUGGUUUGACCCUCCCUCUGGGCUAAAGCAGACGGUCCUGUGGACAGUGUGAGCAGUGUGGCAGUGUGAGUGCUGAGGUACUUUUCCUGCACUCACCUCUGUGCUGUUAUUGGCAAAUACAUUAAAUUUAUAUAUCUGAUAGCCAUGAAGAUACAAACAGUAUUACACAGUUGCUUUUGACAGUCAGUUAAUAUAAGAAAUAUUCUCUUAUAUUGCCUUAUAAAUUAUGUGACAUUUACUAGAUUUGGGAGGCCAAGGAGGGUGGAUCACCUGAGGUCAGGAGUUCAAGACCAGCCUGGCCAACAUGUUGAAACCUCGUCUCUACUAAAAAUACAAAAAUUAGCUGGGCAUGGUGGCGGGCGCCUGUAAUCUCAGCUACUCACGAGGCUGAGGCAGGAGAAUCACUUGAACCCAGGAGGCGGAGGUUGGCCAGGCCGGGAUGCCAGUGGACAUGGGGCAGGAAGAUUUUUGAUCUGGAAAGUCAUCAGCUCCAAAUUCUUCAGUGUCUUCUGCCUCCCACGCCCCCAACCCAGCAAUCUCAACUCGGGGAUAGGUUUUGUUAUUAGAAGGGUCUCUCUGAGGAAGCCCAUGUCUCCAUGGCUAUGACCCAUCCCUUUCCCAGUAUCAGCACUCCUCCCCUAGAUGCCCUGCAGGUCCAGCCCAUGGUGUCAGUGUUAGGCCAGUGUUGAGUGGCCCAUUGUGGGAACCCAGAGAAACGGUGGGAAUAGAGAUAUGGCUGGACCAACCCCCUGGGUUCUCAGCAGUGCAGUCUCUAAGUCAACAAAGGAGGAGGGGGCCAGCCUGAGGGUCCAGCCCUGUUCCUUGGAGCCAGCCCUGGAAAUUUGCAGGGUGUGGCCACAGGGUGGGGGGAUGCUUGGCAUGGCCUGUGGGCAGUUGUCCAGCAGGUCUCUGAGGGCUAAAGGAGACCAGUUCUGCCACCCCACAGGGAAGGGUACAAGGGUACAGGGGCAGGAAAAGCUGUGGCCCUGGGAGGAGAAGAUGGUCAGGGCCCUGGCAUGGGCAUCUCAGAGAGAAAGCAAAGAGGCAGCAGAGCUUGCUGCUAAGGUAACCUGACCAAGCGUCUCAUGCUGAGAGGGGAUCUGAAAUCUGGUGGGAAAAACCCAGUAUGGAGUCUGUGCCUGCAGAGGUCAUUGGGAAAGUUGGGGUGGGGGUGACCCAAAGGAACUGAUGACUUUGGGAUGCAUCUGGAUGGAGCCAGCCUGGGGUGGAGUGGAUGGAUCUGGGGACGACAGUAAAUGGGGUGGGGUCGGGGCAGCGACUCACCUGGGACCCCUCAGCAGAGAGGCUUCGGUCGGUCCCCAAAGCACCCUCUGGAGACUCAGCUCCCUGCUGACUUGGUCAACACCAUGAUCAGAGGACAGAUGGGCGAGGCUGAGUCAGAGAAAAAUGGGAGGACAGCCAGGUGCCCUGUGCCAGGGCUGCUGCAGUGAAAGGGAGGAGGCUGCUGACUGAAAGCCCCAAGCACCACCUGAGGCUGGGGACUGGGUACAGGACCAUCCCAGGUGCCUGUGAAACCCUCAGUCACCCUCAUGGCCCCUGGUGCCCCCAAGCAGUGCUGAGCAGCCCAGUUAAAGAGUGGACAAGGCAGGUAUGUGGAUCUGGGUGUUCUUGCUUAGAGGUUUUGACAGCGUAAGGAUAAAAGAAGAGCCAGAGUGGCUGAAAAGACAGUCCUGGUCUUUGGGUUAGACAGGCUGGGAAAGUGAGGAAGCAGGAAGAGUCAGUGGCUCGUGUUCAGUGAGAGGCAGGUGGAUGCUAUAUGGUCAGACCCUGCAAUGGCUGUGGGGCCAUCAGGCAGGACAGGCUCCAGAUGCAUCCUCAGUUCACGGAGCAGUUUUCAGGCCAAGAUCCUUGCAUCACAGCCUGGCAAUGUCAUCACUUCUGUCCAGGCACACACCCCUGGCCAGCACUGGCCCAUCUCAAGAUUGGAGUUUCUCAGUUCCCAAAGAGGAUGCUGCCUCCAGCCCAGGAGGGGCAGCUCCACUGUGUAGCCGGAAGUCCCAUGAAUCUCAAGCAGCAUAUGCCCAGCUCUGUGCUUCCUCUGCUCCCGUUUCCCAGCCUUUUCUGUGUAUCAGCCAACAGGGAGGCUGAGACCUGGGGUGGCUGGAGGUGGAGCUGGUCCUCCCCUGGGGCCUGCUUGGGAAGGAGGAUGGCCCCCAGCCUGGUGCAGGUCCUCAGCUCUCCUCACUGCCUUCCAGUGAGACAGAGCUGCGCCUCUCAGUGCUCUAGAGGCAAAGGUAAGAGCCUGUCCCUGCUGCAUGGAAGGCUGGUCCAUCCAUGGGUGACCUGAUGGGUGGUCAGUGAUGCAGUGUGUGUGGCCUGUGGGCAUUAAUGGUGGUGAGUGGGGGCGACAUGCCCUCAAUGGAAGCGGCCACAAUUCCUGCUGAAUGGCCCCAAACCCUGUCCUGCAGUCGUUUUACCAAAGCCACCACCAAGAUUCAUGAUAGUGGCUCAGGGGUCACUGCCCACUGACCACAAGGACACCACCUGGAGGCUGAGGGUUAGGGGGCCAGUAGCACAUCCUGGGCACAGAGAGUAACAUGGUCACCACAGGUGAACUGAACUCUGGUGACCUUCCCUGGUUUCAGAUACAAGCAAAAGAAAAAAAAAUUUCUGCAGAGAAAAAGCCUCUUUUCUUUCCACCAGCACCGACUGUUACACAUUGCUCUUUGUGGCAGUGAGUCUUGUGUCUGUUCCAAAGCUGGUUCCUUCUCUUGGUCCUGCCCUUCAGAAAAUGAAAAAGAAAAACUUGCAGAGAAAGAUGUCCUCGGGGAAAAUGAACUAGACUGACCUGGACAUGAACCACAUUUUGAGAAGCCAUUUCAUAUUCUGGGAGUGCUACAGCAUCAAGUAAGGCCUUUGGGGAACAGAGGGUCCUAGAGGAAGUGGGGAAUCUAGAAGGAUGGAGGCAUCUGAGGGGCAAUGGGGAGACAUCAGGGCAAAGGUAGGGGUCUUAAAGAAGAGAGUGACAGCCCAGGACAUUUCCUGGAGUUCUAACUUUGGGAAGGGUCUGCAGUGAGGCCUGAAAUAGGGAGUUUUUCAGGAGAGCCCAGGGGGCUCUGAACACCUCUGCUCCUUCCAUGAGGACAAGAAGACACUGCACCCAGAUUUCUACCUUAAAGCACUGCUCACAGUGCUUGACUGAUGGGACAAGGAUGCAGAGGGAGAUCCCAGGCCAGGGAUCCUGCUGCCUGACACUGCCUGGCUUCCCUGGCCCAAGGUUCUGGCUCCCACAGAAAAACUCAGCUCCUUCCAGCAGGAGGCACAGGCAGGUCCCUGCAGAACACACCAACCAUGCCCUGCCUGAGAGGUGGUGUCCCAUGGCAGAGGCUGAGGCUCAGGGCCAGGAUUGUGGGCAGACUGGGCCAAGACUUAUCUUGCAAGAGCCCAGGAAAGCCCCAAAUUCUUAGGGGACCCCUUCUUCCAGAGGCCAUAUUCUGCUGAGAUGAGUCCAACCCUAUGAGGAGCUGAAGGAUCUUGUCUAAUCCAGCCUCAUGUGUGUGGGGGGAGUCUCACUCUAUGCAGAGGGGUCCCUGGCACUACAGACUGAGCUCCCAGUAGGACACUGGCUUCCAGCCUUGAAGGGCCAGGUCCUUUCGUGUCUGCUGUCCCCACAGACCCCCUUCGGGCUUAUCCUGAGGCUCUGGGACAUCUGUCUUCUGGAGGAUGAGCAUAUACUCACAGCCAGGACAUACAUGGUAUUCAAGGUGCACAGAAUCUUGCCCCGUGUGCCUGAGGGAGCUGUGGGGAACAUGCGGGACAGAUCCCGACUGUCCUGAGGGUAGCGCUCACACUGGGGUUCAGCCUUGCAAGAACCAGAUGGGCUGGGUGGAAAAGCUGACCAAGUCUGCUUGCCUUUCAGCCAAAUCUGUGGCGUUCCCCAGGAAGGCCCCUUGCCUGGAGCAAGUGUCCCUGGUGCCCAGGACUCUGCGGGCAUCCAUCAGCACAAAGACCCUCUCCAAGGGGGAUGGGCUGGCCCUCUCAGGACCACCAGCCGGUGGGUCAUCCCCCCCUCACCCAGAACCCAGGGCAGAACCUAGGCACAGAACCCAGGGGAGUAGGCUGCUCUCUGGUGGCCCCAGGGUCUCAGGGUCUGGCCAGUCUGUCCCUGGCUCAGGACACAUGCCUGGGAAUCAGGGUUACUCCUCUGCUCUUGCAUCUCCUGGGUAAACCAAUAAUGGCCCCCGGCCCACCCCCGCCACCCCGCUCAUGCCUCAACUUUCACAUCCACGGAAAAGGUGCUGGUGAGGGUGACCUUUCCAGGAAGCCACAGCCCAUGCCCACCCCUGCAAAGCUCCGAAGUCGUGCGCCGGCGGGCCAGGCAGCAGAUACUCCCAAGAGCGGCUGAACUGCGCUCCGGUUGGAGAGGGCAGAGGGCAGCAGCACAAUGGACAGCGUCUGGACCUCAGGCCAGUUCCCACAGCAGCUUAAGAAAGCAGGCGGCUCCCUGGGCUGAAGGAGGCGCGAUGCUCUGGAAAGACCCCGGGUGCAGGUGGGAGAGGAAACCGAGCUGAGGAGCAGGAGGUGGGGUGAGGAUGAGACCUGCCCGAUUUGGGCAAAGGCGAGGUGCACUUCGCAGCCACCCUUCUCACUGCCCAGCCCAGACCUGCCCCUCAAGUCCCUCUGCGGACUCGCUCCCCUCAGCCAGGGUUGGCGCAGAAUCAGUGUCCAGCAUGGCUUUGGAAGCGGAGCGGUGCACACGGCCCUGCCCCUCCCUCCGGGGCUGCGCACCACCAGGCACAUGCUAGGAUUCUAGUCCGGUAGCCCCGAGACCAACAGCCAGAAGUGGUUAAGAAACUAUUACACCCCGCCGAGCGCGGUGGCUCACGCCUGUAAUCCUACCACUUUGAGAGGUCCUUAGGUCAAGAGUUCGAGACUAGCCUGGCCAACAUGGUGAAACCCCGUCUGUACUAAAAAUAAAAAACUUAGCCGGGCGUGGUGGCGGGCAGUUGUAAUCCCAGCUACUCAGGAGGCUGAGGUGAGAGAAUCGCUUGAAGCCGGUAGGCAGAGGUUGCAGUGAGCCGAGAUCGCGCCAUUACACUACAGCCUGGGCGACAAGAGCAAAACUCCAUCUCAAAAAAAAAGAAAAAAAGAAAAGAAAAAAAAAAAACAAAAAGCAAAAACACUGCUACUCCCAGUAUGCCUGGUGAGGAGCGCACCGCACUGCCCCUCCCUGAAGGUACCAACUCCAUCCGCAAUCCCCAAUCCCAAUGCAUGCUUGGGAUUGUAGUCCGGCAACCUGUGACCAACGGCCGGAAGUGGCUAGGAGACUACUCCUCCCAGCAUGCCUGGCGAGGCGCGCACCGCGCUGGCCCUCUCUCCUGGGACACGCACCGCCUCCAAUCCUGGUUUAUGCUGGGAUUGUAGUCAGGCAGCCCUGUGAGCAAUUUUUCAGAUUAACUCUUAAGUACUCCACGGCUACAUGCUCCUGAAGCUGUUAUAGGCCCAGCCUCAGAUCUGUGCAGGGCGGAUGCACAAGAGCAGAAUCUCCGUGGACAUCUUUCUGGAGCAUCAAUUUUACUGCAAGAUUUUGAAGAAACACAUUUAAUUGAUUUUCAAGGAUUGCAGAAACCGUGAAUGAGGAGGGCUGACUCUAUCUAUGUUUGGAGUCUGUGAAUAUGAACUCUUCCUAUGUUGGUAAAUGGAAAUUUCUUUCACCAAAUGGCUGAACUGCUUUUUCACUGGCAUGUUCAAAAAACUUACAAGAAGAAGGACAAGAACUGAGAAAGAGAAAGGAUAAGAACUGAACAUUGGUGGGAGGCUGAGACAGGUGAAUCACUUGAGGUCAGGAGAGCGAGACCAGCCUGGCCAACGUGGUGAAACCCCGUCUCUACUAAAAGUACAAAAAUUAGCUGGGCAUGGCAGUGGGCACCUGUAAUCCCAGCUACUGGGGAGGCUUAGGCAGGAGAAUCACUUGAAUUCGGAAGGUGGACGUUGCAGUGAGCCGAGGUGGCACCACUGCACUCUAGCUCGGGCGACAGAGGGAGACUCCAUCCAAAAAACAAAACAAAAAAAACGAAACAAAAAACAUUGGCAAGUGGCACAUUUUCACAAACUAGAAGAGUGGACUUGUAACAAGCACUCUGAUAGAAAGUCAUGGUUCUUUCCUGCAACUGUCUUUUAAAAAUACUGUGAUUUUCAGAAAAGAAAAAAAAAAGAUAUAAUAGGUUAUAAAUUCAUUAGAGAAGAGAGAAAAUAAAUAAUCCCCAGAAGUAAAUUGUCAGCCAGUUUCAAGGUAAAAUGUAGACACAUUAUCCUUGAUCUUUCUGAAUAAUUUUACAGCUUAGGGUAUAGGAGCUUCUAUCACUGCAGAACCAGGGUCACCUGUGGAAAGUCCCUGGUGAAGUCCGCUCCCUUCCAGCCUGUUCCUCAGGCCCAGCAGUAAUGAGUUGUUCUUCCUCCAAGUCAUUCCGUUCAUUGGCAGCAAACCCUGAUAUUUUGGAUAGUAGUUGCUUUUGAUCUUAGAUUUUAACAGAAAGUUUGAUGAAAAGUCUUCAAGACUUACAAGCAUGACCCUCACUUCAGUCAGUCAGUCUGCCCCAGAGGUCCUUGAUUCAACAUAUAGAGAUGGGCAUUUUGAGCAUGUCCUUAAGGCUGAGGUGCAGCCCUAUGGCACAGACUCAUUCUGAAAGAAGCCCAAGUCCCACCCUGAGCUCUCUGUCUCCCAUGUGUGGGCUUAUCAGGGAAGACAGAAGCCCAGAGACCCCUGCACUUGGGGAUCGGCCAUAGGAGCUGCUUCCUGGGUGGGGAGAUGGGAGCUAGCAGCUCAGAAUGGGGCCAUAAGGUAAGUUCCAAACAGCUGUGUCACAGAGUAUGUCAGCAGAACUUUGUGACAUCAGUUGCAAAGAGAGGGAGCAUGUGAAGGACAAAGCCCUGAGUGAUGACAUAGCCCAUUCCGGGGAAGGGAAGAAAUUAGCAUCCUAAGGUUAUAAUAUAGAUAACCAAUGUGCAACAACUACAAUAACAAAAAUUUAACUGCCAAAGAAAAUUAGGAAUAUAGAGCAUCUCA